Cydia pomonella (codling moth) is the source of this 405-nucleotide long non-coding RNA. RefSeq lists it as uncharacterized. The record is from RefSeq and is a predicted model, not a curated record. The transcript is spliced from 2 exons. NCBI's taxonomy places the organism in Eukaryota, Metazoa, Arthropoda, Insecta, Lepidoptera, Tortricidae.
GCUAUUUUGGUUGAAUCCAUAAAAACUUCUUCCGAUAAGAUAAGAUAAAUUAUUAAAGUUCUGUUCUAAUAUGUGUAUGUUAUUAUUUAGCUGAGAAUAGCGAUCCUAAAUUUUUUGCAAGGAAGGCAUGCUAUGACAAGAAUGAAAAAAAUGACGAAAAUAGGCAUAAAACGGGACUGGCGGGACCUUGCUCAGCACAGGGAGGAUUGGAAAGCUAGAGGGGAGGCCUUUGCCCAGCAGUGGGACACACAAAUAGGCUAAUAAAAAAAAAUAAAAAAACGAUUAGUGAUUAUAAGAGGCUUUUAUUAUCGUUAAACAGAAGUGAUCUCAAUUUUGUUAAUACUCAAUACUUUGAUAAGCUAUUACAUUGUUUUUUUAAUAAAGUUUUUUAUCUUUUCUUGGUGA